Molecule: ribosomal RNA, 425 nt
Filed under: uncultured bacterium
Lineage: Bacteria
Description: bacterial SSU rRNA
Rfam family: Bacterial small subunit ribosomal RNA
Source: RNAcentral
UGGGGAAUCUUGCGCAAUGGGCGAAAGCCUGACGCAGCGACGCCGCGUGGGGGAAGAAGGCUUUCGGGUUGUAAACCCCUUUCGGGAGAGACGAAGCCACUCAGGUUAAUAGCCGAGAGGGUGACGGUACCUCCAGAAGAAGCCCCGGCUAACUACGUGCCAGCAGCCGCGGUAAUACGUAGGGGGCAAGCGUUGUCCGGAUUUAUUGGGCGUAAAGAGCGUGUAGGCGGUUGGGUAGGUCCGUUGUGAAAACUCGAGGCUCAACCUCGAGACGCCGAUGGAAACCCCCCAGCUAGAGUCCGGAAGAGGAGAGUGGAAUUCCUGGUGUAGCGGUGAAAUGCGCAGAUAUCAGGAAGAACGCCCGUGGCUAAGGCGGCUCUCUAGUACGGUACUGACGCUGAGACGCGAAAGCGUGGGGAGCGAAC